GCCUGUGGGCAAUGGGCACGAAUUACCCCUGGGAACUCCGAAAUCGGCGGCUAGCACGGCGGCAGGAGAAGCACACACAGGAGCAGAAAGCAAUGAGGCCUAUUUUGGUCUGUAAUCCAGACGAUCUGGUCAGAUUCCAGCUUUGCUUCACCAGGAGAUCCACGUAUGACCUUGAGAAAGUCACCAACCAUGAUGCUUCUGUCUCAUCAUCUCUAAACGGAGACUGUAUAAUGACUCAACCUCCUCAGCCCAUUUGAUUCUAAAAUACUAUUAUUCAAUGUCGGUGACUCUAAGAAAUGUACAGACUAGAAGAUCCAAUGCAAGUUCUAUUUAAAGUUUCUUCAAAGAAAAAAAAUGACCUCUAUUAAAACUAAAAUAAUAAAUUUAUUAUUAAUC
Long non-coding RNA from Myotis davidii, 396 nucleotides. RefSeq lists it as uncharacterized. The record is from RefSeq and is a predicted model, not a curated record. The transcript is spliced from 2 exons. NCBI's taxonomy places the organism in Eukaryota, Metazoa, Chordata, Mammalia, Chiroptera, Vespertilionidae.